RNAcentral lists this small nuclear RNA (63 nucleotides) under Chelonoidis abingdonii (Abingdon island giant tortoise). RNAcentral's name for it is "U4 spliceosomal RNA (ENSCABG00000012588.1)". It matches the Rfam family "U4 spliceosomal RNA", at positions 18 to 79 of the family's 138-position model. Rfam says of the family: U4 small nuclear RNA (U4 snRNA) is a component of the major U2-dependent spliceosome. The structure of U4 snRNA from yeast and human has been reported. U4 snRNA presents a k-turn RNA motif in the 5p-SL related to recognition of Snu13 protein. The record is from RNAcentral. Lineage: Eukaryota; Metazoa; Chordata; Testudines; Testudinidae.
UAUAUCGUAGCUAAUGAGGUUAAUCCGAGGUGCGAUUAUUGCUCGUUGAAAACUUAUUCCAUC